RNAcentral lists this ribosomal RNA (479 nucleotides) under uncultured bacterium. RNAcentral's name for it is "partial 16S ribosomal RNA". It matches the Rfam family "Bacterial small subunit ribosomal RNA", at positions 28 to 507 of the family's 1533-position model. The record is from RNAcentral.
GAUGAACGCUAGCGGGAGGCCUAACACAUGCAAGCCGAGCGGUAUUGUUUCUUCGGAAAUGAGAGAGCGGCGUACGGGUGCGUAACACGUGUGCAACCUGCCUUUAUCUGGGGGAUAGCCUUUCGAAAGGAAGAUUAAUACUCCAUAAUAUAUUGAACGGCAUCGUUUAAUAUUGAAAGCUCCGGCGGAUAGAGAUGGGCACGCGCAAGAUUAGCCAGUUGGUGAGGUAACGGCUCACCAAGGCGAUGAUCUUUAGGGGGCCUGAGAGGGUGAUCCCCCACACUGGUACUGAGACACGGACCAGACUCCUACGGGAGGCAGCAGUGAGGAAUAUUGGUCAAUGGGUGCAAGCCUGAACCAGCCAUCCCGCGUGAAGGACGACUGCCCUAUGGGUUGUAAACUUCUUUUGUAUAGGGAUAAACCUACCCUCGUGAGGGUAGCUGAAGGUACUAUACGAAUAAGCACCGGCUAACUCCGUG